This is a long non-coding RNA of Oncorhynchus tshawytscha (Chinook salmon), 2866 nucleotides long. The record is from Ensembl. NCBI's taxonomy places the organism in Eukaryota, Metazoa, Chordata, Actinopteri, Salmoniformes, Salmonidae.
ACAGACCCCACUCUCCCUUACCUACUCUGGGAGGACCAACAGACCCCACUCUCCCUUACCUACUCUGAGAGGACCAACAGACCCCACUCUCCCUUACCUACUCUGAGAGGACCAACAGACCCCACUCUCCCUUACCUACUCUGAGAGGACCAACAGACCCCACUCUCCCUUACCUGUCUUACCCCAAAAGGGACUCCACUGUCCCCACCUGACCCUGCUCUCCACCUGAAAGACUUAACUGCAUUUAUCAAUACUCUGGAACGGCUCACAGACUGUCAGUGUGUCAAAGCUUGCUAAAUUAGUUUUUAAGUUAAAACUGUAGAAUGUUGUACAGGCUUUAAUGGGGAGAACAAGAUGUGACAGACUUGGAUUCCAUUGGGAAUUCUAUCAGUUUAUUUGGACUCGUAUUGCAUCAUAUUCAUGACAUCGGAAUCAAUAGUACUGAUUAUUGAUUAUGAACUGUGUUGAACCGUCAUUGAGAAGGGAUGUAGGUAUCUGUUAACUGAUGCUAGUAUGUAGUCUAACUCUAGCCCAUCACAUGAAGCAUUUUCUAUUUCUGCCCUCUGACAGUGUUUCAUCAUGACAUCUCGGAGUAGUAAUCUAGCAUCAGUCCAUCACUGUUAAUCUAGGAUCAGUGGCGGUCUAGGAUCAGUCCAUAUAAUCUUUUUCAUUAAACCUAAGUAGCCCAACUGAUCGUAGAUCAUCACCUAUUCUGGGACAAUUUGUGGAUACGGGUCCUGAAGGAUAACGACAACCUCCUAGUGAUCAUGACCUUGUAAUGUCACCAUGACAACCUGUUGAUUCUGCUACAGUAUGACCAGGAAGUGAACAGAGGGCUGCAUUAUGGCUCUGUCUCAAAUACCACCCUAUCUCUAUAUAGUGCACUACCCAUAGGACUCUGGUCAGAAGUACUGCUCUAUUUAGGGAAUAGUGACAUUUGGGAAUCACAUUUAUUAUGAGUUCCAAGUGUUGGUCAGACCCCGGCCAGGUCAGACCCCAGGCCAGGUUGGAGCCAGGCCAGGUUAGACCCUGGCCAGGCUGCUACCUCUGUCCUGUGUUUUGGCCUAGAACUUCAACUACCAAGAGACAUCUUCAUAUCUGGAACACCAGUGCAAUAACUACAGAGUGGGAAAACAGACAGAAACUAGGGAAAACAAAACGUAAUAUUCUCAACUUGUAUAUUAUUAUUUCUAAAAUAUUGUAGACUGAAUAUUCCCAGUUAAAAUGAAGACUUUGUUCCCUUUUAACAAUGUGUUAAUCUUUUUAUUUUCUAGAGCUGGGUUCUUUGUGUACAUUCUGAUAGCGCUCUCUCUUGUCGAGCGGUGGGCCUGUAGGAUGCUGUAGGUUGGCUGUUCACACAGAGGGAGGGAGUGUUCCAUGUGUUCUCACGGUUGCCGUCAUUACCUCCUCCCUGUACAAAUAAAGUUUUGGGUGGUUGAAGCUCUGUUAUUGUUGAUAAUGACCAGUUGUAAAUGAACUGUAUUGUGUCUUUCUGACAGUGCUUCCCCUACUAACCUGGCUGUCUUCAUCAAGGUCUCCUACUGCACUAUUUUGCAUUGCUCCCAAACGGCUCCCUGUAUGCACUAUAAAGGGAAUAGGGAGCCAGACCAGUCCUGUAGUGUGAUAUCCCCAUGUUCAUCAAAGGCACCCCUCUGUCAUGAAAUAUAUUCUGCCAUCUCUACUUGUUGUUUGGCCUUAGAGUAUAUAUUUUAUAAUUGAUGAUCCAUGCAGAAGAUGUGGUUGUUUCAGUUCACAGGGGGUGAUGUUGAGAGGGCCACGUUGUUUCAACGAACCUCGUCGUGAACCAGGCUUCUCCAAGGGAGGUGUGACCACUUGAUUUCGGAGGUAUAGCAAAUCAGUAAGCUGUUUCCAGGUGGAGCACCUCUACAGACAUGAUCAAUAGGGUUGAUCAGAGUUAAUCAAUCAGUAAGCUGUUUCCAGGUGGGGCACCUCUACAGACAUGAUCAAUAGGGUUGAUCAGAGUUAAUCAGUAAGCUGUUUCCAGGUGGAGCACCUCUACAGACAUGAUCAAUAGGGUUGAUCAGAGUUAAUCAGUAAGCUGUUUCCAGGUGGAGCACCUCUACAGACAUGAUCAAUAGGGUUGAUCAGAGUUAAUCAAUCAGUAAGCUGUUUCCAGGUGGGGCACCUCUACAGACAUGAUCAAUAGGAUUGAUCAGAGUUAAUAGAGUGGGAAGGUGGUAGUUGGAUGCUGUCGCGUGAUAUGAUCUCGUUGAGAAACGCCGCUUGGCUAAUGGCCAGCAAACUGCAUCGUCCAUCGUCCAGGGAAAAUCUGCAAAUAAUAUUGAGUAGUUAUUUAUGAUAGAAGGUGAUUUGUUCAUCAGUCUCGGCUCCAAUGUGGAACUGUGUGUCUGACCACCUGGCCUCACUGAGCCUGAAUGUUUUAUAUAUAUAUAUAUAUAUAUAUAUAUAUACUGAAGAAAAAUAUAAACACAACAUGUAAAGUGCUAGUUUCAUGAGCUGAAAUAAAUGAUCCCAGAAAUGUUCCAUAUGCACAAAAAGUUUCUCUCAUUUUGUUGUGAGGUGCACCUUGUGCCAUGGGCAAAAGGCCACUGCUAGGGGGUGCUGAGGAGUAUUUAUUUCUGUAAUAAAUCCAUUUUGUGAGGACUAACGUAUUCUGAUUGACUGGGCCUGUCUGCUAAGUGUGUGGGCCUAUGCCCUCCCACACCUGCCGUCAUCUGAAAUCCAUAGAUUAGGUCCUCGUUUAUUUUUAAUGGACUGGUUUCCUUUUAUUAACUGUAAAAUCAUUGAAAUUGUUGCAUGUUGCGUUUAUAUUUUUGUUCAGUAUAUAUUACAAUAAAGAUAUGUGCAUCUAAACCUCCAUGGAUCACUAUCAAUUUAGAGUGGC